AGAGUUUGAUCAUGGCUCAGAUUGAACGCUGGCGGCGUGCCUAACACAUGCAAGUCGAGCGGUAACAGGUGUAGCAAUACAUGCUGACGAGCGGCGAACGGGUGAGUAAUGCUUCGGAAUCUGCCCAAUGGUGGGGAAUAACCAGCCGAAAGGUUGGCUAAUACCGCAUAAGUCCUACGGGAGAAAGCAGGGGAUCGUAAGACCUUGCGCCGAUGGAUGAGCCGAAGUCGGAUUAGCUAGUUGGUAGGGUAACGGCCUACCAAGGCGACGAUCCGUAGCUGGUCUGAGAGGACGACCAGCCACACUGGGACUGAGACACGGCCCAGACUCCUACGGGAGGCAGCAGUGGGGAAUAUUGGACAAUGGGGGAAACCCUGAUCCAGCGACGCCGCGUGUGUGAAGAAGGCCUGCGGGUUGUAAAGCACUUUUAGUGGGGAUGAAAAGCUCAGGGAUAACACCUCUGGGUCUUGACCUAACCCACAGAAAAAGCACCGGCUAACUCUGUGCCAGCAGCCGCGGUAAUACAGAGGGUGCAAGCGUUAAUCGGAAUUACUGGGCGUAAAGCGUGCGUAGACGGUUAUGUAAGUCGGGUGUGAAAGCCCCGGGCUCAACCUGGGAAUGCCAUUCGAGACUGCAUAGCUAGGGUGCGGAAGAGGGAAGCGGAAUUUCCGGUGUAGCGGUGAAAUGCGUAGAUAUCGGAAGGAACACCAGUGGCGAAAGCGGCUUCCUGGUCCAGCACCGACGUUCAGGCACGAAAGCGUGGGGAGCAAACAGGAUUAGAUACCCUAGUAGUCC
This 795-nucleotide ribosomal RNA is filed under the name uncultured bacterium. RNAcentral describes it as "bacterial SSU rRNA". It matches the Rfam family "Bacterial small subunit ribosomal RNA", at positions 8 to 796 of the family's 1533-position model. The record is from RNAcentral.